Halocaridina rubra (Hawaiian volcano shrimp) is the source of this 73-nucleotide non-coding RNA. The record is from the annotation of a GenBank genome assembly. NCBI's taxonomy places the organism in Eukaryota, Metazoa, Arthropoda, Malacostraca, Decapoda, Atyidae.
ACCUUCUUUGGUGUAGUUGGUAGCACCUUGGAUUAGUAAUUACAUGUCCCGGAUUCAAGUCCCGGUUGGGGUA